GAUGAACGCUGGCGGCGUGCCUAAUACAUGCAAGUCGAGCGAACGGACGAGAACCUUGCUUCGCUGAUGUUAGCGGCGGGCGGGUGUGUAACACGUGUAUACCCUCCCUAUCAUACUGGGAUAACUUCGGGAAACCGGCUCUAACACCGGAUAAUAUUUUGAACCGCAUUGUGCAAAAGAGAUAUACCGUCUUGCUGUCACUUAUAGAUGGAUCCGCGCUUCAUUAGCUAGUUGGUAAGGUAACGGCUUACCAAGUCAACGAUGCAUAGCCGACCUGAGCGGGUGGUCGGCCACACUGGAACUGAGACACGGUCCAGACGCCUACGGGAGGCAGCAGUAGGGAAUCUUCCGCAAUGAGCGGAGGCCUGACGGAGAAGCGCCGCGUGAGGGAUGAAGGUCUUCGGAUCGGAAAACUCUGUUAUUGGGGAAGAACAUAUGUGUAAGUAACUGUGCAGAUCUUGACGGUACCUAAGCAGAGAGCCACGGCUAACUACGUG
Molecule: ribosomal RNA, 497 nt
Filed under: uncultured bacterium
Lineage: Bacteria
Description: partial 16S ribosomal RNA
Rfam family: Bacterial small subunit ribosomal RNA
Source: RNAcentral